GACGAACGCUGGCGGCGUGGAUUAGGCAUGCAAGUCGAACGGUAUCAUCCUUUCGGGGGUGAGAGAGUGGCGAACUGGUGAGUAACACGUAGGUUAUCUACCCUCAAGACGGGGACAACCCAGGGAAACUUGGGCUAAUACCGGAUGUGAGCAACUUUUAGUUGUUUGAAAGGUGGCGUAAGCUGUCGCUUGGGGAUGAGCCUGCGUCCUAUUAGUUAGUUGGUGAGGUAACGGCUCACCUAGGCAAUGAUAGGUAGGCGGCCUUAACGGGUGGUCGCCCACACUGGGGAUUGAGAUACGGCCCAGACUCCUACGGGAGGCAGCAGUCGAGAAUAGUCUACAAUGGUCGGAAGACUGAUAGUGCGACGCCGCGUGAACGAUGAAUCCCUUCGGGGUGUAAAGUUCUUUUAUAUGUGAGCAGUGCUUCUUAUAUUAACAGUAUGGGGAGAGAGAUAUUAGCAUAUGAAUAAGCAAGGCUAACUCCGUGCCAGCAGCCGCGGU
This 501-nucleotide ribosomal RNA is filed under the name uncultured bacterium. Its description in RNAcentral is "bacterial SSU rRNA". It matches the Rfam family "Bacterial small subunit ribosomal RNA", at positions 28 to 521 of the family's 1533-position model. The record is from RNAcentral.